This 314-nucleotide ribosomal RNA is filed under the name uncultured eukaryote. RNAcentral describes it as "partial 18S ribosomal RNA". It matches the Rfam family "Eukaryotic small subunit ribosomal RNA", at positions 1470 to 1796 of the family's 1831-position model. The record is from RNAcentral.
CCCUUAGAUGUUCUGGGCAGCACGCGCGCUACAAUGGUCUUCGCAAACGGAUGCAUUCUCGAAGGAGAAUGCCAAUCUUGGAAUCUAUGCCUUGGUCGGGACAGUUGCUUGCAAUUUUUCGACUCGAACCAGGAAUUCCUUGUAAUCGUGAUUCAUCACAUCACGAUGAAUACGUCCCUGCCCUUUGUACACACCGCCCGUCGCUCCUACCGAUUUCGAGUGAUUCGGUGAACCUUUUGGACAGCGUCUGUCCUCGUGUCAGAUGCUGAAAGUCAAGUAAACCAUAUCACUUAGAGGAAGGAGAAGUCGUAACA